RNAcentral lists this ribosomal RNA (426 nucleotides) under uncultured bacterium. Its description in RNAcentral is "bacterial SSU rRNA". It matches the Rfam family "Bacterial small subunit ribosomal RNA", at positions 356 to 773 of the family's 1533-position model. The record is from RNAcentral.
CGGGAAUCUUCCGCAAUGGACGAAAGUCUGACGGAGCAACGCCGCGUGAGUGAUGAAGGUUUUCGGAUCGUAAAGCUCUGUUGUUAGGGAAGAACAAGUACCGUUCGAAUAGGGCGGUACCUUGACGGUACCUAACCAGAAAGCCACGGCUAACUACGUGCCAGCAGCCGCGGUAAUACGUAGGUGGCAAGCGUUGUCCGGAAUUAUUGGGCGUAAAGGGCUCGCAGGCGGUUUCUUAAGUCUGAUGUGAAAGCCCCCGGCUCAACCGGGGAGGGUCAUUGGAAACUGGGGAACUUGAGUGCAGAAGAGGAGAGUGGAAUUCCACGUGUAGCGGUGAAAUGCGUAGAGAUGUGGAGGAACACCAGUGGCGAAGGCGACUCUCUGGUCUGUAACUGACGCUGAGGAGCGAAAGCGUGGGGAGCGAAC